UCCGUAGGCGGGCAAUUAAGUCAGAGGUGAAAUCCCACAGCUCAACUGUGGAACUGCCUUUGAUACUGGUUGUCUUGAGUUACAGUGAAGUAUAUAGAAUAUGUAGUGUAGCGGUGAAAUGCAUAGAUAUUACAUAGAAUACCGAUUGCGAAGGCAGUCUACUAACUGUAUACUGACGCUAAUGGACGAAAGCGUGGGGAGCGAACAGGAUUAGAUACCCUGGUAGUC
This 228-nucleotide ribosomal RNA is filed under the name uncultured bacterium. RNAcentral's name for it is "partial 16S ribosomal RNA". It matches the Rfam family "Bacterial small subunit ribosomal RNA", at positions 568 to 795 of the family's 1533-position model. The record is from RNAcentral.